RNAcentral lists this ribosomal RNA (485 nucleotides) under uncultured bacterium. RNAcentral's name for it is "partial 16S ribosomal RNA". It matches the Rfam family "Bacterial small subunit ribosomal RNA", at positions 30 to 507 of the family's 1533-position model. The record is from RNAcentral.
UUGAACGCUGGCGGCAUGCCUUACACAUGCAAGUCGAACGGCAGCACGGGUGCUUGCACCUGGUGGCGAGUGGCGAACGGGUGAGUAAUACAUCGGAACAUGUCCUGUAGUGGGGGAUAGCCCGGCGAAAGCCGGAUUAAUACCGCAUACGAUCCACGGAUGAAAGCGGGGGACCUUCGGGCCUCGCGCUAUAGGGUUGGCCGAUGGCUGAUUAGCUAGUUGGUGGGGUAAAGGCCUACCAAGGCGACGAUCAGUAGCUGGUCUGAGAGGACGACCAGCCACACUGGGACUGAGACACGGCCCAGACUCCUACGGGAGGCAGCAGUGGGGAAUUUUGGACAAUGGGCGAAAGCCUGAUCCAGCAAUGCCGCGUGUGUGAAGAAGGCCUUCGGGUUGUAAAGCACUUUUGUCCGGAAAGAAAUCCUUGACUCUAAUACAGUCGGGGGAUGACGGUACCGGAAGAAUAAGCACCGGCUAACUACGUG